GACGAACGCUGGCGGCGUGCUUAACACAUGCAAGUCGAACGGAAAGGCCCUGCUCUUGUGGGGUGCUCGAGUGGCGAACGGGUGAGUAACACGUGAGUAACCUGCCCUUGACUUUGGGAUAACUUCAGGAAACUGGGGCUAAUACCGGAUAGGAGCUCCUGCUGCAUGGUGGGGUUUGGAAAGUUUCGGCGGUUGGGGAUGGACUCGCGGCUUAUCCGCUUGUUGGUGGGGUAGUGGCUUACCAAGGCUUUGACGGGUAGCCGGCCUGAGAGGGUGGCCGGCCACAUUGGGACUAGGAUACGGCCCAGACUCCUACGGGAGGCAGCAGUGAGGAAUAUUGCACAAUGGGCGGAAGCCUGAUGCAGAAACGCCGCGGGCGGGAAGACGGCCUUCGGGUUGAAAACCGCUUUCGCCUGUGACGAAGCGUGAGUGACGGUAAUGGGUAAAGAAGCACCGGCUAACUACGUG
This 468-nucleotide ribosomal RNA is filed under the name uncultured bacterium. RNAcentral's name for it is "partial 16S ribosomal RNA". It matches the Rfam family "Bacterial small subunit ribosomal RNA", at positions 28 to 507 of the family's 1533-position model. The record is from RNAcentral.